CAGUAGCCACGGUAAUACGUAGGUGGCAAGCGUUGUCCGGAAUUAUUGGGCGUAAAGCGCGCGCAGGCGGUUUCUUAAGUCUGAUGUGAAAGCCCCCGGCUCAACCGGGGAGGGUCAUUGGAAACUGGGAAACUUGAGUGCAGAAGAGGAGAGUGGAAUUCCACGUGUAGCGGUGAAAUGCGUAGAGAUGAGGAGGAGCACCAGUGGCGAAGGCGACUCUCUGGUCUGUAACUGACGCUGAGGAGCGAAAGCGUGGGGAGCGAACAGGAUUAGAUACCCCCGUAGUCCUGUCUCUUAUACA
RNAcentral lists this ribosomal RNA (301 nucleotides) under uncultured bacterium. RNAcentral describes it as "partial 16S ribosomal RNA". It matches the Rfam family "Bacterial small subunit ribosomal RNA", at positions 509 to 809 of the family's 1533-position model. The record is from RNAcentral.